This 481-nucleotide ribosomal RNA is filed under the name uncultured bacterium. RNAcentral's name for it is "partial 16S ribosomal RNA". It matches the Rfam family "Bacterial small subunit ribosomal RNA", at positions 30 to 507 of the family's 1533-position model. The record is from RNAcentral.
AUUGAACGCUGGCGGCAUGCUUUACACAUGCAAGUCGAACGGUAACAGGCCGCCAGGUGCUGACGAGUGGCGAACGGGUGAGUAAUGCAUCGGAACGUGCCCAGUCGUGGGGGAUAACGCCUCGAAAGAGUAGCUAAUACCGCAUACGAUCUAUGGAUGAAAGCGGGGGACCGUAAGGCCUCGCUUGGUUUGAGCCGCCGAUGUCAGAUUAGGUAGUUGGUGGGGUAAAGGCGCACCAAGCCAACGAUCUGUAGCUGGUCUGAGAGGACGACCAGCCACACUGGGACUGAGACACGCCCAGACUCCUACGGGAGGCAGCAGUGGGGAAAUUUGGGCAAUUGGCGCAAGCCUGAUCCAGCAAUGCCGCGUGGAGGAAAAAGGCCUUCGGGUUUUAAAAUGCUUUUGUAAGGAACGAAACGGCUCUGGUUAAUACCCGGGGGUAAUGACGGUACCGGAAGAAUAAGCACCGGCUAACUACGUG